ACACAUGCAAGUCGAACGGAGCUGCUUUGAUGAAGUUUUCGGAUGGAUUUAAAACAGCUUAGUGGCGGACGGGUGGGUAACGCGUGGGUAACCUGCCUCACACUGGGGGAUAACAGUUAGAAAUAGCUGCUAAUACCGCAUAAGCGCACGGUUCCGCAUGGAACAGUGUGAAAAACUCCGGUGGUGUGAGAUGGACCCGCGUCUGAUUAGCCAGUUGGCGGGGUAACGGCCCACCAAAGCGACGAUCAGUAGCCGGCCUGAGAGGGUGAACGGCCACAUUGGGACUGAGACACGGCCCAAACUCCUACGGGAGGCAGCAGUGGGGAAUAUUGCACAAUGGGGGAAACCCUGAUGCAGCGACGCCGCGUGAGUGAAGAAGUAUUUCGGUAUGUAAAGCUCUAUCAGCAGGGAAGAAAGUGACGGUACCUGAAUAAGAAGCCCCGGCUAACUACGUGCCAGCAGCCGCGGUAAUACGUAGGGGGCAAGCGUUAUCCGGAUUUACUGGGUGUAAAGGGAGCGUAGACGGCAAGGCAAGUCUGAAGUGAAAGCCCGGUGCUUAACGCCGGGACUGCUUUGGAAACUGUUUAGCUGGAGUGCCGGAGAGGUAAGCGGAAUUCCUAGUGUAGCGGUGAAAUGCGUAGAUAUUAGGAAGAACACCAGUGGCGAAGGCGGCUUACUGGACGGUAACUGACGUUGAGGCUCGAAAGCGUGGGGAGCAAACAGGAUUAGAUACCCUGGUAGUCCACGCCGUAAACGAUGAUUGCUAGGUGUAGGUGGGUAUGGACCCAUCGGUGCCGCAGCUAACGCAAUAAGCAAUCCACCUGGGGAGUACGUUCGCAAGAAUGAAACUCAAAGG
This 856-nucleotide ribosomal RNA is filed under the name uncultured bacterium. RNAcentral's name for it is "bacterial SSU rRNA". It matches the Rfam family "Bacterial small subunit ribosomal RNA", at positions 51 to 907 of the family's 1533-position model. The record is from RNAcentral.